CUGACCUCAGAUCAGGCGAGAUUACCCGCUGAGUUUAAGCAUAUCACUAAGCGGAGGAAAAGAAACUAACAAGGAUUCCCUUAGUAGCGGCGAGCGAACCGGGAAGAGC
This 109-nucleotide ribosomal RNA is filed under the name Riccia inflexa. RNAcentral describes it as "partial 26S large subunit ribosomal RNA". It matches the Rfam family "Eukaryotic large subunit ribosomal RNA", at positions 1 to 108 of the family's 3401-position model. Lineage: Eukaryota; Viridiplantae; Streptophyta; Marchantiopsida; Marchantiales; Ricciaceae. The record is from RNAcentral.